CUUCCCUACGGGAGGCAGCAGUAGGGAAUCUUCCACAAUGGACGAAAGUCUGAUGGAGCAACGCCGCGUGAGUGAAGAAGGGUUUCGGCUCGUAAAGCUCUGUUGGUAGUGGAGAAAGAUAGAGGUAGUAACUGGCCUUUAUUUGACGGUAAUUACUUAGAAAGUCACGGCUAACUACGUGCCAGCAGCCGCGGUAAUACGUAGGUGGCAAGCGUUGUCCGGAUUUAUUGGGCGUAAAGCGUGCGCAGGCGGUUUGUUAAGUCUUAAAUCAAAGCCCGAAGCUUAACUUCGG
Molecule: ribosomal RNA, 292 nt
Filed under: uncultured bacterium
Lineage: Bacteria
Description: partial 16S ribosomal RNA
Rfam family: Bacterial small subunit ribosomal RNA
Source: RNAcentral